Molecule: long non-coding RNA, 1268 nt
Filed under: Salmo salar (Atlantic salmon)
Lineage: Eukaryota; Metazoa; Chordata; Actinopteri; Salmoniformes; Salmonidae
Description: lncRNA (ENSSSAG00000096912.1)
Source: RNAcentral
ACUUACUCUUGUGUUACUGACUUGUUGCACCCUCGACAACUACUAUGAUUAUUAUUAUUUGACAAUGCUGGUCAUUUAUGAACAUUUGAACAUCUAGGCCAUGUGCUGUUAUAAUCUCCACCCAGCACAGCCAGAAGAGGACUGGCCAACCCUCAUAGCCUGGUUCCUCUCUAGGUUUCUUCCUAGGUUUUGGCCUGUCUAGGGAGUUUUUCCUAGCCACCAUGCUUCUACACCUACAUUGCUUGCUGUUUGGGGUUUUAGGCUGGGUUUCUGUACAGCACUUUGUGAUAUCAGCUGAGAGGAACUCUGGAUCUCUGUCAGUGUCCAUCUGGUUCUUAGUCACCUCCCUGACCAAGGCCCUUCUCCCCCGAUUGCUCAUUUUGGUCAGGUGGCCAGCUCUAGGAAGAGUCUUGGUGGUUCCAAACUUCUUCUAUUAAAUUAAUUAUGGAGGCCACUGUGUUCUUGGGGACAUUCAAUGCUGCAUAAUUUAUUUGGUACCCUUCACCAGAUCUGUGCCUUGACACAAUCCUGUCUCGGAACUCUACAGACAAUUCCUUCGACCUCAUUGCUUGGAUUUUUCUAUGACAUGCACAGUCAACUGUGGGACCUUAUAUAGACAGGUGUGUGCCUUUCCAAAUCAUGUCCAAUCAAUUGAAUUUACCACUGGUGGACUCCAAUCAAGUUUUAGAAACAUCUCAAGGAUGACUAAUGGAAACAGGAUGCACCUGAGCUCAAUUUCAACUCUCAAAGCAAAGGGUCUGAAUAUUUAUGUAAAUAAGGUAUUUCUGUUUUUUAUUUUUAAUACAUUUGCAAAAACAAAAUGUUUUUUUCGCUUUGUCUUUAUGAGGUAUUGUCUGUAGUUUGCCGAGGAUAAAAAAAUAAAAUAAUUGUGAAGAUGGCUGUAACGUAAAAAUGUUGAAAAAGGGAAGGGGUCUGAACACUUUCCGAAUGAACUGUAUAUGCACCAUGCCACUGCCUACUUCAUUUGUUAAUUUAGCAAACAAGACAACAUAUUAAUCCAGUGCCCUUAUCACAGUCAACACACCUAUAUUUUUUAUUUAAUUAGCUUUAAAAAUGCAAAAUGUUCUCUCAGCCUCAUGGCAAAAUGUGUAGAAUAGCAUGUGACGAGCUUUAAAACAGCAACAUUUUCUCUAAGCCUCAUGGCAAAAUGUGUAAUAUAGCAUGAGAUCAGCUAUAUAACUGAACAUUAUUUGGGGGGACACCCAAAUUUCUGCAGGCCCACCCAUCAACAAAUGUUUAGCUACGCC